Molecule: ribosomal RNA, 253 nt
Filed under: uncultured bacterium
Lineage: Bacteria
Description: partial 16S ribosomal RNA
Rfam family: Bacterial small subunit ribosomal RNA
Source: RNAcentral
UACGGAGGGAGCUAGCGUUGUUCGGAAUUACUGGGCGUAAAGCGCGCGUAGGCGGCUUUGUAAGUUAGAGGUGAAAGCCCGGGGCUCAACCCCGGAACAGCCUUUAAGACUGCAUCGCUAGAAUCCGGGAGAGGUGAGUGGAAUUCCGAGUGUAGAGGUGAAAUUCGUAGAUAUUCGGAAGAACACCAGUGGCGAAGGCGGCUCACUGGACCGGUAUUGACGCUGAGGAGCGAAAGCGUGGGGAGCGAACAGG